This 863-nucleotide ribosomal RNA is filed under the name Aquasubmersa japonica. RNAcentral's name for it is "partial large subunit ribosomal RNA". It matches the Rfam family "Eukaryotic large subunit ribosomal RNA", at positions 38 to 919 of the family's 3401-position model. The record is from RNAcentral. Lineage: Eukaryota; Fungi; Ascomycota; Dothideomycetes; Pleosporales.
GCAUAUCAAUAAGCGGAGGAAAAGAAACCAACAGGGAUUGCCCUAGUAACGGCGAGUGAAGCGGCAAGAGCUCAAAUUUGAAAUCUGGCUCUUUUAGAGUCCGAGUUGUAAUUUGUAGAGGGCGCUUUGGUGUUGGCCACGGCCUAAGUUCCUUGGAACAGGACGUCACAGAGGGUGAGAACCCCGUACGUGGCUGCUGGCCUUCACCGUGUAAAGCCCCUUCGACGAGUCGAGUUGUUUGGGAAUGCAGCUCUAAAUGGGAGGUAAAUUUCUUCUAAAGCUAAAUACUGGCCAGAGACCGAUAGCGCACAAGUAGAGUGAUCGAAAGAUGAAAAGCACUUUGGAAAGAGAGUCAAAAAGCACGUGAAAUUGUUGAAAGGGAAGCGCUUGCAGCCAGACUUGCCUGUAGUUGCUCAUCCGAGCUCUUGCUCGGUGUACUCUUCUGCGGGCAGGCCAGCAUCAGUCCAGGCGGUCGGAUAAAGGCCUUGGAAAUGUAGCUCUCUUCGGGGAGUGUUAUAGUCCAGGGUGCCAUGCGACCAGCUUGGACUGAGGUCCGCGCAUCUGCUAGGAUGCUGGCGUAAUGGCUGUAAGCGGCCCGUCUUGAAACACGGACCAAGGAGUCUAACAUCUAUGCGAGUGUUUGGGUGUCAAGCCCGGGCGCGCAAUGAAAGUGAACGGAGGUGGGAACCCUUCGGGGCGCACCAUCGACCGAUCCUGAUGUCUUCGGAUGGAUUUGAGUAAGAGCAUAGCUGUUGGGACCCGAAAGAUGGUGAACUAUGCCUGAAUAGGGUGAAGCCAGAGGAAACUCUGGUGGAGGCUCGCAGCGGUUCUGACGUGCAAAUCGAUCGUCAAAUUUGGGCAUA